RNAcentral lists this transfer RNA (87 nucleotides) under Chloroflexota bacterium. Its description in RNAcentral is "tRNA-Leu". It matches the Rfam family "tRNA". From Rfam's summary of the family: Transfer RNA (tRNA) molecules are approximately 80 nucleotides in length. Their secondary structure includes four short double-helical elements and three loops (D, anti-codon, and T loops). Further hydrogen bonds mediate the characteristic L-shaped molecular structure. tRNAs have two regions of fundamental functional importance: the anti-codon, which is responsible for specific mRNA codon recognition, and the 3' end, to which the tRNAs corresponding amino acid is attached (by aminoacyl-tRNA synthetases). tRNAs cope with the degeneracy of the genetic code in two manners: having more than one tRNA (with a specific anti-codon) for a particular amino acid; and 'wobble' base-pairing, i.e. permitting non-standard base-pairing at the 3rd anti-codon position. Lineage: Bacteria; Bacillati; Chloroflexota. The record is from RNAcentral.
GCCGGGGUGGCGGAAUCGGCAGACGCGGCGGACUUAAAAUCCGUUGGUGGCGACACCGUGGGGGUUCGAGCCCCCCCCUCGGCACCA